RNAcentral lists this ribosomal RNA (433 nucleotides) under uncultured bacterium. Its description in RNAcentral is "partial 16S ribosomal RNA". It matches the Rfam family "Bacterial small subunit ribosomal RNA", at positions 29 to 507 of the family's 1533-position model. The record is from RNAcentral.
AACGAACGCUGGCGGCAUGCCUAACACAUGCAAGUCGAACGAGACCUUCGGGUCUAGUGGCGCACGGGUGCGUAACGCGUGGGAACCUGCCCUUAGGUUCGGAAUAACUCCCCGAAAGGGGUGCUAAUACCGGAUAAUGUCUUCGGACCAAAGAUUUAUCGCUUUUGGAUGGGCCCGCGUUGGACUAGCUAGUUGGUAGGGUAAAAGCCUACCAAGGCGACGAUCCAUAGCUGGUCUGAGAGGAUGAUCAGCCACACUGGGACUGAGACACGGCCCAGACUCCUACGGGAGGCAGCAGUGGGGAAUAUUGGACAAUGGGCGAAAGCCUGAUCCAGCAAUGCCGCGUGAGUGAUGAAGGCCUUAGGGUUGUAAAGCUCUUUUACCCGGGAUGAUAAUGACAGUACCGGGAGAAUAAGCUCCGGCUAACUCCGUG